AAGAUGAUGUACUCUGGAAUAAAAU
Molecule: non-coding RNA, 25 nt
Filed under: Cricetulus griseus (Chinese hamster)
Lineage: Eukaryota; Metazoa; Chordata; Mammalia; Rodentia; Cricetidae
Source: RNAcentral